This 835-nucleotide long non-coding RNA is filed under the name Daphnia pulicaria. Its description in RNAcentral is "uncharacterized LOC124343840, transcript variant X6". The record is from RNAcentral. Lineage: Eukaryota; Metazoa; Arthropoda; Branchiopoda; Diplostraca; Daphniidae.
ACAUGGCAACAUCGCAUGUCCCGUCGACUUUCACAAUCGAGCAAUCGAGCCGAUGGAAAAUUUUUUGUGGAUCAUAGUGAUCGUUAAAAAAUUAUAAUAUGGUGACCACGUUGCGAGUGUGAGUGUCGGGUAAAACCUAAAACUGUAUAAAAGUCGUUCUAGAAUCCAGACCUACAUUUUGUUGUUUUAGUUUAAAGAAUGAUGGCGAAAAUAAUAACAGGUAUUGCAUUAAUCUUCUCCUGUUUCUAAUUAUUUGGAGCAUGCCACUACCAAGCCCGUUUUAACCUCCAUUCUCUCUGCCUCUAUUAUAUCAAAGGACAAAAGCAUCAGAUCUCGAAACACACAGGCGAUGAAACACAAUAGAUGCCCGAUGUGGUUCAAGAUUUCCAUCAUGGCCUAAGAAUAAUUUGCCGGCUUUAAUCUACCUUUUGAACCAUUCAAGAUGAAGAAGAAUGUCUCGUUUUUCUGUAAAUUUCACUUCUAAUCGUUGAGGGAAUAUUCGCUUUGUAAAUUCGAACCCUCUGUGCAUGGCCAGCUGAGAAGAAAUGGUGACCAAAGCCGGCAGCAUUUGCAAAACGGGCAGGGAGGUCGCCACAUGUUUUCCCCUAUUGCGUAUUCGCAAGACAGUGGAAACUCCCAAAUUGUCGCACCCCAUCAAGAUUUCACAUUUCAAAUAACAUGGUGUUUUUAAAAGGUUCCUGACUGCAUCAAAUUGUUAUUUUUUAGUUGGAGUGGUGAAGAAGAAAGUGCCCCAACCCUUUUCUGUUGGAACAGUAGCUCUAAUGUAUCGAGACAUCUUGGGUGAAAGUUUUUCCAAGGUUGGUUGGUGUCUGAG